CAACUCUUUGUAGCCAAUAUAAUAACCAGUGAUUGAGCCAAAUGAUUCAAUGUGUUUCGGUGGCUAAUUUAAAAUGGACAAGAAAACAAUAAUUUGAUUGCAAAUUGAGUUAAUACCAAUCAAGUUAACAACAUAAUCUAAGAUCCUGGACUGGUUGAUGGUGCUGAUUAAAUGAGAAAAUUGAACAAUUAGAUAUUAAUUAACCACCAAUGAUCAACUGAUUGUCUACAUUGUUACGAAAUAUUUUGGAUUACCUUCUUCAUCUGUUGUUAUCGUUAUUAUUUUACUUGGUUCACUUUUACCAAUCAUAUUAACGGCAAACAUCCUAAUGUCAUAAUUAGUUAAUGGUUUAAGGUCAUUAAUUAAAACCUGAGACGCGGUUCCAUCAAUUUCAGUUGUUGAUGCUGCUGUUGACCAAGUACCUGUUGGAGUUACAGGGAGAGGAAAAAAGUAAAAUCCAUCAUUAGAAUUAUAAUAAUAAUAAUAAUCACCAUCAUUACUUUCAUCAUUAGUCAAUAUUAAAUUGCUGAUUCAUUAAGAAGAAGGUAUAAAGUUUGACAGGAAAGAAAGGAAUCAAUUGAUACAGCAGAAAAUUCUGACAAUUUAUCGCCAAUCAAGUUAUGAUAUAUUUCAAAUGGACACAUACACAGUAAAUCCUAUUUCAGGGAAAGAACGAUGAAAAAGAUAACAUUCCCUGUUUAUCCUGUUCAAUAAUAAUCUGAAUUUUCAUCAUCCUUCUUAUCAUCUUUCUCUUUCUUUCACUUUCAAUCUGACCACUUGAACGGAAGCUUAAGAUGAUGGAUGUUACUCUGAUUAAUAUCAAUUCCAUCUCAUAUCCAGAGGAAAAGAUAAAGAAAAGGAGGAAAAGUCGAAAGGACAUUAAACCAAAGGAAGAAUAUACAAAAACCAUACAUAAAAAUCAAACGAAAAUGAAUUUCUAUGUUAAUUAGGAUGAGACAUUUUAAUUCGUAAAUUUCAUCUUCAUUAUCUGGAAAAGAUUCUCUUUCUUUUUCUCAUCAUCCUCAUCAUCUAACGACAAUCUAUUAUGAAAUCACCUUUUCUCAGGUUAAAUGGCGACAAUCAAGGUUGAUGCAACACUCAGAAUUAUGAUGAUUUGGAAUUGGAAAAAAAGAGGAAAUGCCUUGAAAUGGAAAAUGAAAACAAUUCAAUGGAUUUAAGAAUAACAAUUAACAUGUGACAACAAUCAAUAUUCUCACUCUACUGAUGAUGGUGAUACUACGGAAAGGAAAAGUUCUGAUGUGAAAAAAGUCAUUUCUUAUCAUGGGGAUUUCAUGAAAAGGGCCAAGGAAGAAAAGUUUCAUCAAAUGGAGUGAAAACUAAUAUCUUUCCAAUAGGAAAUUGAGGAGAAUGAGAAAAUUUCAACGGAAACUAAUUCCUUGAGAUUAUUAAAUGUCCUUCCUUUCUCGAGAGCAAUUAAUUGUUCUACUUUUUGAUUGUAAACUUAUCAUUUAAUUUCAAAUGUAAUAAUAGCUCAAGAAAAGAUGAUAUUGAUAGUUGGAAAAUUGGGAAUUCACUUCUUAAAUUGAUAACUUGACAUUGGCAUGUUAAAGGGUCACACAAAGGCCGUGACAAGGAAGACAAGGAUGAUAAUCAUAAUGACGAGGAGGCGGAGGGAGAGAUAUAUAUAUAACUCUGAUGAAGAGAAGAUGAAAAAAGAAGAAAGAGAAAAAGAAACAGGAAGAAGAUGGCAAUGAUGAAAGAUGGAGAAGACAGAUUGUUGGACAGAAGGAGAUGAAGAAAAAAAGACGAAGAUGAAAGAGGAAGAUUAAGAUACAGUCAAGAAAAGUUUCGGUUCAGCAAGGUUGGUUCAUCAUCUUUGGAAGAUGAUGAAGAUAAGGGGAUGGCUAACGGAUAAUAAAAGAUGAACACAAAUCUUAAAAACUACUAUUGUAAUCAUCUUCAUCUUCAUCUUCAUCAUCAUGUAUAUGUUAUCGUGUUGGAACCUGAGAUAAACUUGAUGCGGUAAAAGAGGAACCCUACAUGGCGAAGGAAACUUAGGCAAAAAAAGCGAAGAUGGAAAAUAAAGAAAUGAAAUCUGAUGGAAUCUGAAGAUGAUGAUGAAAAAGAGGAAGACAAGAUGAUUGGUGAGAGAGAGAGAGAGAGAAUUGAAGAAAAAAGUUUCGUAUAUCACGAUAUAAAUAUCGUUGAUAAAGGGAAUGAUGAAGAAGAAGAUGGAUUGGGUUACAAAAGAAUAUUUCAUCUUCUCUCACUCACUCACUCUUUCUUUUUUUCUUUCUUUAUUCUCUCCUUUCUAUCAUCAUCAUGAUGUUUCUGUUAAUAUUUCAUGUGAUACUUUACCUCCAUCUUUUUUCCACUGGAUGAUGUAUUUGGUUACUGGACUAUUGCCCGAAUAAGGAAGUGAAUAACGUAAAGAAAUACUCUUACUACCAAAUUCGUGGGCAAUAAGGUCAGACGGUGGGUCAGGCGCUUCCUCAACUAGAACUCGACUGGUCAUCUCACUUUGACCAAAUGGAUUCCAAGUGAUACACAGGAAACUCCCAGAAUCAGAGCGAGUGGAUAUUGGAGUAAUUAAAUUUGAUAUAAGGCCGAUUGUUAAUUGGUCUCUCAUAUUACCUUCUAUCACUUAGGAAAUCAAUUUCAGUCCGUUCUUUGAGCCAUUUGAUGUUAAUUGGUUUCUCACCAAUCGCCUCACAACUUACAUUAACUGGAUCACCAAGUUUCACCCUUAU
Molecule: long non-coding RNA, 2711 nt
Organism: Panonychus citri (citrus red mite)
Lineage: Eukaryota; Metazoa; Arthropoda; Arachnida; Trombidiformes; Tetranychidae
Exons: 6
Source: RefSeq, a predicted model, not a curated record